CCUACGGGAGGCAGCAGUGGGGAAUAUUGGUCAAUGGGCGCAAGCCUGACCCAGCAACGCCGCGUGAAGGAAGAAUACUUUCGGGUUGUAAACUUCUUUUCUCAGGGACGAAGCAAGUGACGGUACCUGAGGAUUAAGCCACGGCUAACUACGUGCCAGCAGCCGCGGUAAUACGUAGGUGGCAAGCGUUAUCCGGAUUUACUGGGUUUAAAGGUCGUGUAGGCGGGACUGCAAGUCAGAUGUGAAACCCACGGGCUCAACCUGUUGCCUGCAUUUGAAACUGUAGUUCUUGAGUACUGGAGAGGCAGACGGAAUUCCUAGUGUAGCGGUGAAAUGCGUAGAUAUUAGGAGGAACACCGGUGGCGAAGGCGGUCUGCUGGACAGCAACUGACGCUGAGGCGCGAAAGCGUGGGGAGCAAACAGGAUUAGAUACCCCAGUAGUC
RNAcentral lists this ribosomal RNA (443 nucleotides) under uncultured bacterium. Its description in RNAcentral is "partial 16S ribosomal RNA". It matches the Rfam family "Bacterial small subunit ribosomal RNA", at positions 338 to 795 of the family's 1533-position model. The record is from RNAcentral.